CCUACUUUCGAGUUUGAAUUUCAAACGAAGGAAGUACAGAGAGAGAGAUGGGCACAGCCGAAGCCGUCCCUUCGAAUCCUGCGCACUGCCACCCCCAGAUAUUUCGGCAUUAAAUGUGCGCGUGCCGGAGUCUUUUCGAAUUGGAGUGGUACGAGGGGAUGCUUCGAAAUUCCCGCAGGUACACUAGCCUAGGUACGGCGCAAUUAUAAUCCUGCCAACCGCCAGCCGCUUUUAGCCGCCUGCCAGGGGGAGUGGGACACGUGUCGGAUGCGGACCGGCCUGGGGGGAUUCGCGAUCAUUAUGGCGCCAGAUCCCAGGGUCUAUUUAAACCCGUCCUCCCACCUUUAGGUGUCCCACUCCGUUCCUGAGUUCUCACCAGCGUCUGCCUUCUCUCCGAGAGCCCUGUUUCAGUGAGCGUCUUCUCGAGCCGUAGGC
This 435-nucleotide long non-coding RNA is filed under the name Elaeis guineensis (African oil palm). RNAcentral describes it as "long non-coding RNA (EGUI_LNC010564)". The record is from RNAcentral. Lineage: Eukaryota; Viridiplantae; Streptophyta; Magnoliopsida; Arecales; Arecaceae.